RNAcentral lists this ribosomal RNA (247 nucleotides) under uncultured Eubacteriales bacterium. RNAcentral describes it as "uncultured Clostridiales bacterium partial 16S ribosomal RNA". It matches the Rfam family "Bacterial small subunit ribosomal RNA", at positions 92 to 339 of the family's 1533-position model. Lineage: Bacteria; Bacillati; Bacillota; Clostridia; Eubacteriales. The record is from RNAcentral.
CUAGUGGCGGACGGGUGAGUAACGCGUGGGUAACCUGCCUUAUACAGGGGGAUAACAGUCAGAAAUGACUGCUAAUACCGCAUAAGACCACAGCACCGCAUGGUGCAGGGGUAAAAACUCCGGUGGUACAGGAUGGACCCGCGUCUGAUUAGCUGGUUGGUGAGGUAACGGCUCACCAAGGCGACGAUCAGUAGCCGGCUUGAGAGAGUGAACGGCCACAUUGGGACUGAGACACGGCCCAGACUCC